RNAcentral lists this long non-coding RNA (1359 nucleotides) under Equus caballus (horse). RNAcentral describes it as "lncRNA (ENSECAG00000057392.1)". Lineage: Eukaryota; Metazoa; Chordata; Mammalia; Perissodactyla; Equidae. The record is from RNAcentral.
CUUGUUGCUGAGCUAACAUCUGUGGCAAUCUUCCUCUGUUUUGUAUGUGGGUCACCCCCACAGCAUGGCUUGAUGAGCAGUGCGUAGGUCCACAUCUGGGAUCUGAGCCUGUGAACCCCAGGUGGCCAAAGCGGAGUGCGCAAACUUAACCACUAUGCCACUGGGCUGGCCCCAAGAUGUGGGUUUUUUAAUCCUUUUCUGUUUGUCUCUUGUUUUAGAAGCAGAUCGUGAGACAAAGAUUCAAGUAAGAGUAGUUUAUUUGGCAGCUGAAGGAAACAUCCACUGGCGGUGGGGCUUGAGAGAAGGAAGUGAAGACAGCCAAGAGAGCGUGUGUUAUCAAGCCAGCUACCCCUGUGGGCAGCUGGUUUGGUCCACUGUGCUCUCUGCCAGGCAGCCUAGCAGACGCCCCGCAGUCACCAGCACCAACUCCCGGACAUCAGGGAGGUUGGAGGGGCAGAGUUCCCGCACUUCAGCCUCCUGCGUGGGAGGCACGGUGUGCUCAGGUGGCCAAAGAAGGCAAAGAAGGUAAAGAAGUGAGGUCCUGGUAAAGUGGAAGUCAGUCAUGUUAAAAGAAGAGAAGAUCACUCCUGGAUAGUUUUGUCUCCUGGCCACCAGGAGUUUGUGAAAGUUGGCAAGUACAGUGCUGCGUGUUAGUCAGCUCUGCAGUUUCAUCAACUUCUCGGCUUCUAUUGGAUGACUAGUCUCAAUGUUGGUGCCAUAGACUGUUGGGCCUCCCAAAUUUUGUGUGUCACAAAAUUACUCAAAGGACAUGGAUUGGCAUUGGCAAGGAGUAUUUUUUCUCUCACUCAAGACUACUUUUUACUUCAGAGGAAAUGGGGCCAAAUUGCAUUUCACCAAUUAUGGAAGGGAUCGAUUCUGGAAACCCGAGUUAAUGGCAUUAUGUUUCUGACUUCCUCCAGAGCUGUUCUAAUGCCCAUUACAGCUGGCUGCUGCUUAGUAGCCCGUCUACUAACCCGGCUCUGAGAAUAUCCAGAUCCUACCAAUGUGAUCAGAAUUACACUCAAAGAAAUAGGAUGGAAAAAGACAGUAAUUCAGAGGGUAGAGCUGUACUGAAAUCCAUCUGUGAAGAGGCUGGAAAGUGAGGAGACCCUGAGGAAGAAUUCGUGCAGUGUCUAUCCAGCAGAGCUGACGAUCGGGAAGGCGCUGCACUCUGAGUGGACGUGCCUGGGCCCUCCAUGGUUUUGGUACCUCUAGUUUUCUCCAUAGCGGGAAUAAUGGGCUAAUAUGGGGUGAGGGGAGAAUGUGUUGAUCUCUUCAGAUCAAAUGAACGGCUUCAUUUUUAAGCUCAUUAAACACUCUCCCACUCCGUUGCGAGUCUUCUUUAGCUCAAUAAAGAAG